AGAGUUUGAUCCUGGCUCAGGACGAACGCUGGCGGCGUGCCUAAUACAUGCAAGUCGAACGCUUCUUUUCCCACCGGAGCUUGCUCCACCGGGAAAAGAGGAGUGGCGAACGGGUGAGUAACACGUGGGUAACCUGCCCAUCAGAAGGGGAUAACACUUGGAAACAGGUGCUAAUACCGUAUAACAAUCGAAACCGCAUGGUUUCGUUUUGAAAGGCGCUUUACGGUGCCGCUGAUGGAUGGACCCGCGGUGCAUUAGCUAGUUGGUGAGGUAACGGCUCACCAAGGCCACGAUGCAUAGCCGACCUGAGAGGGUGAUCGGCCACAUUGGGACUGAGACACGGCCCAAACUCCUACGGGAGGCAGCAGUAGGGAAUCUUCGGCAAUGGACGAAAGUCUGACCGAGCAACGCCGCGUGAGUGAAGAAGGUUUUCGGAUCGUAAAACUCUGUUGUUAGAGAAGAACAAGGGUGAGAGUAACUGUUCACCCCUUGACGGUAUCUAACCAGAAAGCCACGGCUAACUACGUGCCAGCAGCCGCGGUAAUACGUAGGUGGCAAGCGUUGUCCGGAUUUAUUGGGCGUAAAGCGAGCGCAGGCGGUUUCUUAAGUCUGAUGUGAAAGCCCCCGGCUCAACCGGGGAGGGUCAUUGGAAACUGGGAGACUUGAGUGCAGAAGAGGAGAGUGGAAUUCCAUGUGUAGCGGUGAAAUGCGUAGAUAUAUGGAGGAACACCAGUGGCGAAGGCGGCUCUCUGGUCUGUAACUGACGCUGAGGCUCGAAAGCGUGGGGAGCAAACAGGAUUAGAUACCCUGGUAGUCCACGCCGUAAACGAUGAGUGCUAAGUGUUGGAGGGUUUCCGCCCUUCAGUGCUGCAGCUAACGCAUUAAGCACUCCGCCUGGGGAGUACGACCGCAAGGUUGAAACUCAAAGGAAUUGACGGGGGCCCGCACAAGCGGUGGAGCAUGUGGUUUAAUUCGAAGCAACGCGAAGAACCUUACCAGGCCUUGACAUCCUUUGACCACUCUAGAGAUAGAGCUUCCCCUUCGGGGGCAAAGUGACAGGUGGUGCAUGGUUGUCGUCAGCUCGUGUCGUGAGAUGUUGGGUUAAGUCCCGCAACGAGCGCAACCCUUAUUGUUAGUUGCCAUCAUUUAGUUGGGCACUCUAGCAAGACUGCCGGUGACAAACCGGAGGAAGGUGGGGAUGACGUCAAAUCAUCAUGCCCCUUAUGACCUGGGCUACACACGUGCUACAAUGGGAAGUACAACGAGUCGCGAAGUCGCGAGGCUAAGCUAAUCUCUUAAAGCUUCUCUCAGUUCGGAUUGUAGGCUGCAACUCGCCUACAUGAAGCCGGAAUCGCUAGUAAUCGCGGAUCAGCACGCCGCGGUGAAUACGUUCCCGGGCCUUGUACACACCGCCCGUCACACCACGAGAGUUUGUAACACCCGAAGUCGGUGAGGUAACCUUUUUGGAGCCAGCCGCCUAAGGUGGGAUAGAUGAUUGGGGUGAAGUCGUAACAAGGUAGCCGUAUCGGAAGGUGCGGCUGGAUCACCU
RNAcentral lists this ribosomal RNA (1549 nucleotides) under Enterococcus mundtii ATCC 882. RNAcentral's name for it is "bacterial SSU rRNA". It matches the Rfam family "Bacterial small subunit ribosomal RNA". The record is from RNAcentral. Lineage: Bacteria; Bacillati; Bacillota; Bacilli; Lactobacillales; Enterococcaceae.